This 402-nucleotide ribosomal RNA is filed under the name uncultured bacterium. RNAcentral's name for it is "bacterial SSU rRNA". It matches the Rfam family "Bacterial small subunit ribosomal RNA", at positions 355 to 774 of the family's 1533-position model. The record is from RNAcentral.
UAGGGAAUAUUGCAAAAUGGGCGAAAGCCCGAUGCAGCAACGCCGCGUGGGCGAUGAAGGCCUUCGGGUCGUAAAGCCCUUUUGAGGGGAUGAGGAAGGACAGUACCCUCAGAAUAAGCCUCGGCUAACUACGCGCCAGCAGCCGCGGUAAAACGUAGGAGGCGAGCGUUAUCCGGAUUUACUGGGCGUAAAGCGCGUGCAGGCGGAUUGGAGAGUUGGAUGUGAAAGCUCCCGGCUUAACUGGGAGAGGUCGUUCAAUACUUCCAGUCUUGAGUGCAGUAGAGGGAAGUGGAAUUCCGGGUGUAGUGGUGAAAUGCGCAGAUAUCCGGAGGAACACCAGUGGCGAAAGCGGCUUCCUGGACUGUAACUGACGCUCAGACGCGAAAGCUAGGGUAGCAAACG